Molecule: ribosomal RNA, 495 nt
Filed under: uncultured bacterium
Lineage: Bacteria
Description: partial 16S ribosomal RNA
Rfam family: Bacterial small subunit ribosomal RNA
Source: RNAcentral
GACGAACGCUGGCGGCGUGCCUAAUACAUGCAAGUAGAACGCUGAAGGAGGAUCUUGCUUCUCUGGAUGAGUUGCGAACGGGUGAGUAACGCGUAGGUAACCUUCCUGUUAGCGGGGGAUAACUAUUGGAAACGAUAGCUAAUACCGCAUAAUAGCAGUUGUUGCAUGACAACUGUUUGAAAGGUGCAAUUGCACCACUACCAGAUGGACCUGCGUUGUAUUAGCUGGUUGGUGGGGUAACGGCUCACCAAGGCGACGAUACAUAGCCGACCUGAGAGGGGGGUAGGCCACACUGGGACUGAGCCACGGCCCAGACUACUACGAGAGGCAGCAGUAGGGAAUGUGAGGCAAUGGACGGAAGUAUGGCCGAGUAAGGCCGAGUGAGUGAAGAAGGCUUUCGGAUCGUAAAGAUCUGUUGUGAGAGAAGAACGAGUGUGAGCGUGGAAAGUUCACACUGUGACGGUAUCUGAAGAGAAAGGGACGGCUAACUACGUG